Molecule: small nuclear RNA, 106 nt
Filed under: Propithecus coquereli (Coquerel's sifaka)
Lineage: Eukaryota; Metazoa; Chordata; Mammalia; Primates; Indriidae
Source: RNAcentral
GUGCUCACUUUGGCAGCACAUAUACUAAAAUUGGAAUAAUACAGGGAAAUUAGCGUGGCCCCUGCACAAGGACAACACAAAAAUUCAUAAAGCUUUCCAUAUAAAA